GAGUUUGAUUAUGGCUCAGGACGAACGCUGGCGGCGUGCUUAACACAUGCAAGUCGAACGGGAACCUUUAUUUCGGUAAAGGUGAGAGUGGCAAACGGGUGAGUAACACGUAGGCAACCUGCCGACAGGAUGGGGACAACAUUCCGAAAGGAAUGCUAAUACCGAAUGGAGUCGAGGGAAGGCAUCUUCUCUUGAUGAAAGAUGGCCUCUGAAUAUGCUAUCGCCUGUCGAUGGGCCUGCGUCUGAUUAGCCAGUUGGCGGGGUAACGGCCCUCCAAAGCGACGAUCAGUAGCCGGUCUGAGAGGAUGAACGGCCACAUUGGGACUGAGACACGGCCCAGACUCCUACGGGAGGCAGCAGUGGGGAAUCUUCCACAAUGGGCGAAAGCCUGAUGGAGCAACGCCGCGUGAGUGAAGAAGGUCUUCGGAUCGUAAAGCUCUGUUGUACGGGACGAAAACCGGGGAUGAGAAUAUU
Molecule: ribosomal RNA, 474 nt
Filed under: Selenomonas sp. canine oral taxon 120
Lineage: Bacteria; Bacillati; Bacillota; Negativicutes; Selenomonadales; Selenomonadaceae
Description: bacterial SSU rRNA
Rfam family: Bacterial small subunit ribosomal RNA
Source: RNAcentral